UACAGAGGAUCCAAGCGUUAUCCGGAAUUACUGGGCGUAAAGAGUUGCGUAGGUGGCAUUGUAAGCAGGUAGUGAAAGCGUUCGGCUCAACCGGAUUAACAUUACUUGAACUGCAAAGCUAGAGGACAAGAGAGGUCACUGGAAUUCCCUGUGUAGGAGUGAAAUCCGUAGAUAUAGGGAGGAACACCGAUGGCGUAGGCAGGUGACUGCCUUGUUCCUGACACUAAGGCACGAAAGCGUGGGUAGCAAACGGG
RNAcentral lists this ribosomal RNA (254 nucleotides) under uncultured bacterium. RNAcentral's name for it is "partial 16S ribosomal RNA". It matches the Rfam family "Bacterial small subunit ribosomal RNA", at positions 524 to 776 of the family's 1533-position model. The record is from RNAcentral.